GCGGGUGUGGUUCAAUGGUAGAACACGACCUUCCCAAGGUUGAAACGAGGGUUCGAUUCCCUUCACCCGCUCAA
This 74-nucleotide transfer RNA is filed under the name Candidatus Yanofskybacteria bacterium RIFCSPLOWO2_01_FULL_49_25. Its description in RNAcentral is "tRNA-Gly". It matches the Rfam family "tRNA". Rfam says of the family: Transfer RNA (tRNA) molecules are approximately 80 nucleotides in length. Lineage: Bacteria; Candidatus Yanofskyibacteriota. The record is from RNAcentral.